AUGGGCAACGCCAAGAGUUCACGCAGAUGCACCCGCGGGAGCUCUGACAGCGGGAGCAGCGAGGAGGACGACGCACCCGCGGUCCGGGCGCUCACCAUGCCGGGCCCCAAGACCCCCCGCAAGGGCGUCAACAACAAGCCCACAGACAAGAAGGUCAAUGCCGUCGUCCCGCCCAAGCCCACGGGGAAUAGCUCCCCCGGUGGGGGCAGCAAGAAGAAGAAGAACCCUCGCCUCGUCAGCGACUCCACGGUUCAGGAGCGGCGAGCCGACCCGCAGCUCACCAAGAAGGUCGCCAACAGUAAGUCCACGGAUAAGAAGGUCGUCAACAACAAGUCCAUGGACAAGAAGGUUGACGACAUCGUCCCGCCCAAGCCCAUGCAGAAGAGCUCCGCUAGCGGGAGCAGCCAGAAGAACCCGCCCCUCGUCGGUGACUCUGUGGUCCACGAGCGGCAAGCCGACCCGCAGCUCACCAAGAAGGUCGUCAACAACAAGUCCGCGGACAAGAAGGUCGUCAACAACAAGUCCACGGACAAGAAGGUCGACGACAUCGUCCCGCCCAAGCCCAUGGAGAAGAGCUCCGCCAGCGGGAGCAGCGAGAAGAACCCUCCCCUCAUCGGCGACUCCGCGGUCUCGCAAGCCGACCUGCUGCAGCUCACCGACGCGCCCCCCAAAAGCUCCCGCAAGCGCGACAGCAAGGCCACGGACAAGAAGGUCGACACCGUCGUCCCUCCCAAGCCCAUGGAGAAGAGCUCCGCCGGCGAGAGCUGCGAGAAGACGGGCAGCCGCGUCGUCGACGUCUCCGCGGUCCAGGACCCACAGCUCGAGGCGGUGCUCGCCGAGAUGCAGCGGCACCACCAUUGCCAUUGUCAAUACGUCGGCCAUGGCACGGCCGCCGCGUUGGCGGAGAACAACCACCACCACCAUCAGCAGCAGCCGGUUCUCGGCGCCGCCGACGGGGCGGAGCAGUGCCCGUCCUCGUCCUACUACAAGGGCGUGAUGGCCGUGGAUCUGGUGCCGACAGAGGCCAGCGAGGAGGUGCGCGUGCUGGCCACGGCGGACCCCGUGCGCCGCCACAAGCCCACCAAGAAGGACCCUAGCCUCGUCGACGCUCCCGCGCUGCAAGCCGACCCGCAGCUCGAGGCGGUUCUCGCUAACAUGCAGGAGCAGGCGCUGCAAGCCGACGCGCAGCUCGAGGCGGUUCUCGCUAACAUGCAGCGGCAGGCGCCGCCGCCGCAUCAUCGUCAGUAG
This 1248-nucleotide ribosomal RNA is filed under the name Triticum aestivum (bread wheat). RNAcentral's name for it is "partial small subunit ribosomal RNA". The record is from RNAcentral. Lineage: Eukaryota; Viridiplantae; Streptophyta; Magnoliopsida; Poales; Poaceae.